RNAcentral lists this transfer RNA (68 nucleotides) under Leucophoroptera quadrimaculata. RNAcentral describes it as "tRNA-Met". Lineage: Eukaryota; Metazoa; Arthropoda; Insecta; Hemiptera; Miridae. The record is from RNAcentral.
AUAAAAAGAUAAGCUAAAUAAGCUUCCAGGUUCAUACCCUGGAUAUAGAAAUUAUAUUCUUCUUUUUA